CUUUUAUUAGGAGUAUUUAUUUUUCUCUUAUAUUUUUAUCAAAAAGGGGUUGGUGGUGUGUUUUUCUUUUCUCUUUUCUAAAGGGAAACAAAAAAGUAAAGAUAUGGUCACAAAAUUAAGGAAUUGCUUUCAUGAUGUUUUUGACAAUCUAUUAUUAAUAUAAAGCUAGGCAAUAGAAAGAUGAGAUGACACCUUUCUUUGGCCAAGAAUCUUGUUUUUUUUUUUUUCAUUUUUUGUAUUUUUCUUAAUCAUUUUACUCUAAAAAGUCAUCUCUAUAACUCACCUCUUCAUCUUCAUAACUUCCACUCUUAAUUGAUUAAUAAUAUUCAUAAAUAUAGAAAAAGGUUACCUUAUUUUUCCUCUUAUAUUUUCCUUUUAAAAUAUUUGCUGAAACAAAUUAAGUCAGUCUAUCAAAAAAACUGAAAUCUAAAUUAAGAGGGCGUCAAAGAUGAAAAGACAUGACUAUCAUUCCAAGUGCUUUAAUUUCCAAGGAACAGUUACACCUGUAAAAAUGCUUUAGAGAAAUAAAUUAUAGUAGUAUAUAAAUAUAGAAAUGAGAAUAAUCCUACCUUGAAGCACAUAUCCGUUAGAAGGUCGCUGCAAUGUGGAAUGCCCCCUUUCCACAUCGUGGCAGUAUUGACAUAAAGCCAAAGAUUCUGCUAAUCAUGAUAUUAGUUAGCAUUGAGUCACAAAACCAUACAUAGAUUUUAUUUAGACCAUGCUGCAAAAAGAAAUUCUCAGUUAUUUCAAUUCAUAUCUUAUCCAUUUUACUCAUUAUACUUUAUUUGGGUUUCAGUGAAUUGUGCAAUAUAGAUGAUGAUAUCAGAUUUUAUGUUGCUCGGACUCUUCAAAAAAAUAAUUACCGGAUGCGUGUUGAUUCCUCUAAAUUGUUGGAAGAUGUGAUACGCAUCCGGCGACUUUUUUGAAAGUUCGAGCAACAUAGAUCCUCAUUCUUUGGUUCAGCAGAGUUGGUCUAGAGUCUCUAGAUAGAGUUGGUCUGUGCUUGCGAAUCACUCGGCAGGAAAAUUUCUAGGAGUACGGAGGACACUGCCGCAAGAAAGUCCAUUUAUCUUAGCUUGAGGUUUUGAAGCCACGAUUCAAUAUUUGGUUCAUCAAGUUGCCUCUUAUCGUCUUCCACACUCUAAAGAUGAGAGCAUAAAGCGAUUGCAUUUACUUUGAGAAGAAAGGAAUUGCAAAAAUGAGCUGUGAAGGAGCUGAGGAAGAUUCAAUUCCCAAAAUUCCCAUUUUUUGGAGGGAUUGCUAUUGGUUUGUAAGCUUAAGAGCUGAAAUUCGACUUACUUGUGAUUGUUGUUUUAUUGUAUUGAGUUCAUCGGGGGUGACAUGGGAAAUUAGAACUCCGUUGGGAAUUCCGAGGCUUCGGGUGGAUUCGUAGGGCGUUUUUAUGCGUAUGUACAUGUUUGUUUUGUGUUUUUGAGGCCUCAGAUAAAAUGUUGGGUGAGGGGGGGAAAAACUGGACAAAAGUCGGCUCACUGGCCAAAAUGGACCGCUGCGGCGAUACUGCUAUAGCGGCGGCUUGACCGCUGCCAGCGGCCAUCCACGCCCUCGGUGGCCGUUGUGGCGGGCGGUGGACCACUAUGGCGGCACCGCUAUAGCGGUGGACAGACCGCCAUAGUGGCUAGGCGGAUUCCUUUGGGACCGCUAUAGCGGUCACUUGACCACUAUAGCAGGACCGCUGUAGCGGCGUUAUGAUCGUUGCAGCGGUCGACGGAAAACAGUGGCCCGGGAUUUUUAUAUUUAGUCUCAGAUUCUCUAUUUACAAAACACCAACACACUUCCCAACAAGCACGUAGGGUGAAAUUCCAAGCUAGGGCAAGAAACUCUUGAGAGAUUAGUCCCAUCUAUUCCAUUCUCCCUCAUGAUUAGUAUCCCCUUCGUGGGUCUUUAAUGGUGAAAGUGAAAUAGAAACCCUAUAAUAUUAAUAAACCUUCUAAACUUGACGGGUUAUGGUUAUUAUCACCUAGUUAUCAUCUAAAGGCUUGGGUUAGUUCUCUUAAUCAUGAAUUGCACACUUAGAGUCAUAAACUAAAUGAAUGGAGACAUAGGGUUCUACAAAAAUGGUAUUUUGACUAUAAGAACUGCUUGUAAUGGGGAUAUUGAUAGAAUAUUGUUUGUAUUUGAUGAGUAAUGAUUACUAAGGCCUUUGGUUGGUUUCUUAACACCUACAAAAUCAUCCACCCCUUGUAAUGAGGUAAAGAGAAGGGGAUUCUUGUAUUGAUGCUUGUGAUUUGAGUAAUUAUGACUCAUUAAGCCUUCUAUUUCUAGACUUUGAGCGCUCUGAGGCUUUAAGGAAGGGAAAGGUUGUAACGGAGUGACUUGCGUUGUCCUAACUCUAUAUUGAGGUAGGUUACGGUCUACUUGAGUUAGACUUUGGUUAGUUGAUUGUAUGUUUGUGAAUUCUUUAGAAGAAAGCAUGUCUUGUUUUCAUGCAUGAUAUUGUAUGACUGAACUCCUAUGUGAUUGUGAAUGAUUGAUUGUGUGGGCUUCGUGCCACUAUUCCUGUGUGUUGAUUCUGCAGUGAAUGUAUUGUGAUGAGAAGCUAAUAUGAUCUUUUCUACGGUAUUGUGACAUGGAAUGAUGAUUUGAGUAUUGAUAUUGAGAAGGUAAGUAACACUGUUCUGUAAGAGGUAUGGAAAGUCACUUAUGUGACCUAGAUUAUGGGCUCGUGGUCCGAGGUUAGUUCCGAAAUUGAGAGGUACAUUAAUAUGUCCCCCGUCCGAGGUUCGUUCCGGAGCGGAGGUUUGUGCUAGGGUCCGAGGAGUGUUCUGGAAUGAGUGGUACAUGAACACCAUAGGUCCCCUGUAGGUCAUGACUACUGAGCAAUGACAUCAGUUAGUAUGUGUGUACAUUGAGUGUGGUCAUUAUGGUAACUUAUCUCCGUUGUGGCUUACGUGAUUGUGAUUAUCCUGGGUUGACUUGCUAUGGUUUAUUGAUAUUCAUGUCUGUUGACUGAUUUGUUUAUUCUAUUGAUUUUAUGAAAUAUGCAUGAUAUUAAUCUUAGUCGGCCUAUGAUAUCUACCGGUACAUAGUGUUUGUACUGAGACUACCUUGCUGCAAUCUUUUGAGUGCAGAUUGUGAUACAUAGACUGCUACCCGUCCCUACAUCUAGCGUGGAGGACGUUUGCUGAUAGAUUUAGGGAUUUAGUUGGGUGCCAGUCAUGGCAGGUUGGGUCAUGACAGAGUUAGUAUCAGAGCUUUAGGUUCGUCGAUCUCAUCGUACAAGGACAUGUACAGUAGAGUCUUGCGGAUCGGUAUGGAGACGUCUGUACUUAUCUUUGAGAGGCUGUCGGACACUAGAAAAACUCCCUUUUCUUUCUUUCUUUCGUGCAACUUGAUUUCAAUUGGUAUCUGCUGAUUCAAAAUGGUAUCUGACUAUCCUUCAUUCUCUCGCAGAUGGCGAGAACACGCACGGCAGCAGCUAGAGCUAGAGGUGGAGGCAGAGAAGUUGGCAGAGGGGCGGCCCUAGCUGGGGGCGGCGUCCCAGUGGUUGACCCCAUGCCUCCACUGGUUCCUAACGAGGCAGCGGGUAGAGAAGAAGGCCCAUAGGGGGUGUGAUGUUCAGCAAUUCCUUCUAGAGGGGUCAGAGUUCACUGAUGUGGCGUGAUUUUACGCCACAAUCGAUGCUUUUUAACUAUAAGUUUUACUUGUUUUUAAGCAAGUCUAUGUUAUUUUACGUGGUUUUUAGUAUGUUUCAGGUAAUACGGGGUCUCUAGAGCCAAAGUGUGGAAAACAAGCAAAAAAACUGCAAAACUGGAAACAACUGGAGGUUCUGGAAAUUAUUGGCGAAAUAUUGCUCUGCGCGUUCGCGCAUGAAUAUCACGCGUUCGCGGUCACGCGCGUCGUGACUCUGCGCGAACGCUCAGUGAACACACGCGUUCGCGCUGAAGUAAGGCGAGUGGAGCUGACGUCAUCCACGCGAUCGCGCAGAAACAUGGCGCGAUCGCGUUGAAGGAAUUUCGGGCCAGACCGAACAGAACUCGGAUUUUUACGAUUUUUGAUAUUCUAGUUCCUAUAAAUAGAAAACUAGGGCAAAACAUUAGAUAUCUUUGGCAGCUUUCACAAGUUGGAGGCUAGGGUUCCUACAUAAAUGUUCUCUCUUCUAUUUAAUCCUUGUUGAUGGAAAUCUCUUGGUGACAAUUAAGAUUGACACUCUUGUUGUGCUUAUUUAUUCAUUUGCAUUAUUCUUAAUCAAGUAAGUUUUUGCUAUUUUAAUUAUUCUUGUUCUUGAAUGUUUUCAAUGGAUUAGCUAACCCUUGAACUCGCCCAUUUACUUUGUUUGAAACUCGGAAGAGGAAGAACGGAGUUGGGAUAGAAUAAUUAACAUGAAUUUGGGGCGUUAACCCUCAUCUAAUGGAAAUUGACCUAGGAAUAGGCAAUACCACUUGUAGCCAUAUUCGGGUGUUCUUAAUGCUCCUAAUUGCUUGAGGGAUCUUCAAUUGGGUAGUCUAGUUAAUCUUCGGAAGAAGUUAAUUUAGAGUCAUUAUCCGAGGC
Molecule: long non-coding RNA, 4509 nt
Organism: Lycium barbarum (goji berry)
Lineage: Eukaryota; Viridiplantae; Streptophyta; Magnoliopsida; Solanales; Solanaceae
Exons: 4
Source: RefSeq, a predicted model, not a curated record